CCAACCUCCCUCCCUCCUCCAGAAAUCUAAUCUCUCUCACUCGUAUCAGCCGUUCGCCACGUCCAUCGCCGGUGGUGGUCUGAUGGCCCUUGGUUCGCCGGCCGAUCCUACGAGUGAUCUCCUUCCACAUCAGCACCGAUGAGAUUCAGUCGGCGGUCACAUCGUCUCGUCGUGCAAUCCAAGCUACAGAUUCUUCUUCACGAUGGCACGACGCGAGUGGAUGUGCGGGCUACUACCGCUAAGGCCUACGAAUGGCCCAUCCUAUCCUAUCCUGGUGGCUCCGGCCCGCCACGAAAACGCAACCCAGCACCGCCGUCAUUUCCGCUCGAGCUAGUGUCCCCCUUGACGGAGAGGAGCAGAGCGGCUCCUCCUCCCCCUCGACGCCAAGCCAACCAGCAGUCAGUCAGGCCAAGCCAAGCAGCAGGCAGCCCCUCCUAAACUCCUCCUGCUAUUAGUACAAGGGGACUACUUCCCUCUGUUCCUUUGCAAGAUGAAGUAGGGCACCGAACCCCCCUCCUAGCUUCUGAGUUUGAUUUUAAAGGUGACCCAUUCUCUUUUGCAAGCUCUUCUCUUGUUCCUCGCUGGACGCACGCAAAAAAAAAGCACUAAGUAGGAAAUGUGCCAUCUGCGGGAGGCCCUCCCCUACCUCCCCCUGUCCUCCUUUGAGGCUCAUCUUUAAUAGGCUUGACAUUUUUUAGAAUCAAUUCAUGUUAACUCUUUCAGAUCUAUAGUCAGUAUUUGAAUGUAAUAGUCAAAUGAAGUAUCUUCUUGCCAUUAUAGUUUAUAUAUUUUCUGCAAGCUUGUUGACUUUAUUCCUUUGCUACUGCAUAUCUAAAAGCAGUGUCGUGUUAGCAUUAAGGCAACUAGUAAUGCACUUAUUUAUCAGCUGAAUUACGUGCUAGUAUUCUUUCUUUCUUUUAAUGUAUGUUUUGUUUGUCUAUUUAAAUAUGAGUCCUUCCUCUUAAUUUCCCUGUUUACCUUGCAUUGUUGUCUUUUCUAUGCAAUUUGGAUAUCGGUUGGGUUGUUGGACCAUCUUCAAGAUUUAACUCCAAAGUGCGUCUGCAAGGAAACCAAAAAAUCAUGAUGUUCUAGCUAGUAGCUUGCUUAAAUGGGCCGGCCGAAAAAGAAACCUGAGUAUCUCAAAGUAAAUGCACACAAUGCAAAGUAAGCUGCAAAGGCUUUGGCUAGGGAAAAAGUGGUGCACUUGGUGCAGUCAUCAUGUGAAGUAAUCUAAAAUUAAGAUUGUGUCUUUGUUGCGUGCUUGUGAAAAUUCAUGUGUUUCCUUACGGAUACAAUGCAACAAAGAGACCUCCUGAUUGGGUGACUGCUCCAGCCGGAUUGAAUCGAGAAAAGUUUAUCAAAGAUUAUCUUUCAAAUGACUAUCUUCCAGUAAAUGCAACUAAACAGCAGUUUGAGAAUCUUUACGGGCAACUUCAUUAGUAUCAUCUAUCUAUUUCUCCUCACUCAUUGGAGAGCAACAAAAAGUGCAACAUUAGGCCAGAGAUUGUGGUUGGUGGGAAAGUUAUCCCUGAGGAGAAGCAUGAUGGGACUCCAGUAACAUCCUAUAUUGAUAAAAAUAUGAAAAAUACAUAUCAUAUCAUACGUGUGUGGGAUGCUAGGAAGAAAGGAAGUUUCUUGGAGUUUCUCUGACAGAACUGUUCUGGUUACGUUUUGGCUUGGAGAGUGUAUGCUCUUCUAGUUUUGUUCAAAUCUGCAAAAUGGUGAUACUUUUGUGAUGAACCUGCUAUUGUGUUAGAUUUGGGACAUAUUUGGACAUUUGUGUUGUCUAAACAACAUUCAACAUAUUCUGUUGUGGAAGAUACAAAAUUUGGAACUGAUUCAAUGGAGGUGGGGGUUGAUGUUCUCGAUGCUAUUUAUCAGAAUGCUACUACCAUGGAUGAGGAUACCAUGGAUGAGGAUGAAGAAUCCAUGGCAGCCGUCCACUUCCUUCUUUUACUCUUUGGUGAAGCGCCGCGGUCUGAAGUUUUCAAGACAAUCAUCUUUAGCACCAUCACAAAAAAGUUAAGCAGUGUCAGGCAAUCGGUCUUGUCUAUGACUCGCUUGCUAAAAAUUGGAAUAAGUUGUGCAAAUGUGCCUGCUAUCUAUGGCUGAUGGUUCUAGAGGCUCUCAUGGAAGCAAACUUAAGGGUUGAGAGACCAAAUGUAAUAAAACCGGCUGAACCUCAUCACACUUUGGUUGAUUUAUUUAAAGAAAUGACAAUACACAAACGAAAGGCCCAACACAAGUGUAGCUCAAUUGCAAUGGAUAACAAUCUCCA
Molecule: non-coding RNA, 2278 nt
Organism: Triticum urartu
Lineage: Eukaryota; Viridiplantae; Streptophyta; Magnoliopsida; Poales; Poaceae
Source: RefSeq, a predicted model, not a curated record